GAUGAACGCUGGCGGCGUGCUUAACACAUGCAAGUCGAACGGGGAUUACUUUUUAGCUUGCUAAGUUGUAAUUCUAGUGGCGGACGGGUGAGUAACGCGUGGGUAACCUGCCUUAUACCGGGGGACAACAGUUGGAAACGACUGCUAAUACCGCAUAAGCGCACGGGAAGGCAUCUUUCUGUGUGAAAAACUCCGGUGGUAUAAGAUGGACCCGCGUCUGAUUAGCCAGUUGGCGGUGUAACGGACCACCAAAGCGACGAUCAGUAGCCGGCCUGAGAGGGCAAACGGCCACAUUGGGACUGAGACACGGCCCAAACUCCUACGGGAGGCAGCAGUGGGGAAUAUUGCACAAUGGAGGAAACUCUGAUGCAGCGACGCCGCGUGAGUGAAGAAGUAUUUCGGUAUGUAAAGCUCUAUCAGCAGGAAAGAAAAUGACGUAC
Molecule: ribosomal RNA, 440 nt
Filed under: bacterium LD2016
Lineage: Bacteria
Description: bacterial SSU rRNA
Rfam family: Bacterial small subunit ribosomal RNA
Source: RNAcentral